RNAcentral lists this long non-coding RNA (430 nucleotides) under Coffea arabica (coffee). RNAcentral describes it as "long non-coding RNA (CARA_LNC001224)". The record is from RNAcentral. Lineage: Eukaryota; Viridiplantae; Streptophyta; Magnoliopsida; Gentianales; Rubiaceae.
ACAAGAGCAACAACUUGGAAGGAUAUCUCUACCAGUCGGUAAAAUUACGAUAAUAAUAAUUAUUAAUGUUUACUAAUUUGCAAUCCAGCAAAUGGAUAAUGAUUGAUAAAACGGCAGAGAAAAUGCGGCAAUUAAAGAAUCCAAUUCCGCAUUACCAAUCCAAUGGGUUCAAAGCGUCAACCACCCAGGUGAGGAAUGAGACGCCACACUACACUACAAUAGUUGAAGAUGAAGGCUGAUGAUGUCUGUCUCUGUCGGGCUUGAAUGGCGUGAAGAUGAAGGUGAAACUGAGGAAGUAGGAAGCUGAGGAGGAAAUCACAAUAAGUCGGAGGUGUGGAUGAAGGAAGGUGAGACAGUGAGUCAGGCGGUGGAGACGGAGGAAGGAAGGGGAGAGAUGAUGAGGAAGAGGCGGCGGAAGAGUAUAAUUAGG